RNAcentral lists this transfer RNA (375 nucleotides) under Greeniopsis multiflora. Its description in RNAcentral is "transfer RNA-Leu". Lineage: Eukaryota; Viridiplantae; Streptophyta; Magnoliopsida; Gentianales; Rubiaceae. The record is from RNAcentral.
GGGAUAGGUGCAGAGACUCAACGGAAGCUGUUCUAACAAAUGGAGUUGGCUGGGUUAGUAGAGAAAUCUUUUCAUCGAAAAUUCCGAAAGGAUAAAGUGAAAGAUAAAGGUAUAUAUGUAUUGAAUACUAUAUCAAAUGACUAAUGACGACUCGACUGAAUCUGUAUUUUUUAUAUGAAAACGGAAGAGUUGGUGUGACUAGAUUCCACAUUGAAGAAAGAAUCGAAUAUUCAUUGAUUAAAUGAUUCACUCCAUAGUCUGAUAGAUCUUUUCAAGAAUUGAUUAAUCGGACGAGAAUAAAGAUAGAGCCCCGUUCUACAUGUCAAUGUCGGCAACAAUGAAAUUUAUAGUAAGAGGAAAAUCCGUCGACUUUAA